This 1775-nucleotide long non-coding RNA is filed under the name Chinchilla lanigera (long-tailed chinchilla). RNAcentral's name for it is "lncRNA (ENSCLAG00000025035.1)". Lineage: Eukaryota; Metazoa; Chordata; Mammalia; Rodentia; Chinchillidae. The record is from RNAcentral.
AUUUAAAGAUACACACAGGUAUGUCUCAGGGGCAUUGUUCUAAGAUUGCACAAAUUCAUGAAUAUGACAAAAACCACUCAAUUAAAUAUACAUUUUAAAACAGUGAACUAUAAAUUAUCACAAUCUCCUGCUUUAAAAAUACUAUGUAUGAGCCAGGCAUGGUGGCACAUGCCUGUAAUCGCAGCACUCCAGAGGCUGAGGAGGGAGAAUCACCUCUAGUUCAAGGCCAGUCUGGGCUACCUAGCAAGAUCUUGUCUCAGAUAACAACGAAAGCCCACAUGAUUUCUGGCCACACUUUCGAGGGAAGUAGUAAAUACAACCCCAACUGGGCUUCUUUCUGCCCUCUACUACUUUUCUGGGGGUUGAGAUCACCAACCUCCGUGCUUUUCUAACCGAAGCUUUGAAAAAAAGCCUUUCCUCUAAAUUCCUUUUAUCCAGCACUGGGUACACCUCUGAAAGGUUUCUGAAGCAGGCAGAUAAAACAGAACUGUUAAGUCACAUAGCUAGGCGCACACCUGUAGUCCCACCUACUAGUGAGGCUGAGGCAGAAGGAUCUGGACACUGGACUGGGGAACACAGUGACACCCACUUUCCAAAGGAAAAAAGGCAAAACAAUAAGCGAUCGCCUGAGCAUCGUCCUCCAAAUCCCUUGUGCACCAGCCGAGAAGCCAUCGAUACUACUAAACAGCUUCCACACACGUCCACGGACAAACAAGAGGUGAAGGAAGAGAAGCCAAAGACACCAGAAGCUGGCUCCAACAACAACAAUGCCAAGAGCAUGAAAGAAGUAGAGAAAAUGUAUGCCUGCUUUGCUCUCCAGGACAAGAUCCUCGAACGGCUUUUGUUCAGUGAGAUGAAACUGAAAGUCCUGGAAAAUCAGAUGUUCAUCCUAUGGAAUAAAAUGAAUCGCUGCAGGCCGUCAAGCAAAUACCAGCGUUUCCCCAGGAAGAAAUACAUACUGGAGAGGCAAAACUCAAUCUUCUCCAUCGUUUCUGAUUGUACUUCCAAUUCCCAGGCCUAAUGAGACUGAGGCAAGCCAGCCUCUGCUGAUGUUAUCUCCACUCAAUGUGUUAGUCUGGUUUGUUGUUAUUAGCGUUGUUGCUGUAAUACAGUACAUGAGACUACAAACUUUAUAAAGAAAAAGGUUUCUUGAGCUCACAAUUCCAGAGGUCUAAGAGCAUAGCAUGGGCAAUGCUCUUCCCUGAGAGGGCCUCAGGGAAGAGCAAGCAUAUCACAGGGUGAGGGCAGCUACGUGUAUGUGUGUGUGUGUGUGUGUGUGUGUGUGUGAGAGAGAGAGAGAGAGAGAGAGAGAGAGAGAGAGAGAGAGAGGGAGGGAGGAUGCAGGGUAAGAGAGAAAAUAACAGAGAGAGCCAAAAAAGCCAAACUUGCUUCAUAACAAGCCCCUCAAGGUAACCAAUUCUAAGAAACCUCACUCACUCCCUGAAAUGAGCAUUACUUCCUCCCAAGGGUGGUUUUCCCAAUAACCUAAUGACCUCCCACUAGGUGCCACCUCUUAAAGGUUCCACCAUCUCUCGGUGCCAUUGCAAUGGUACCAAGCCUCCAGCACACAAUCUUUUGUAGGGAACAAACCAUAUCCAGCCAUAGUGCCCCCCUUCCCCUGUGAGUCUCAGUAGGAAGCUGUUGAAUGAUCCUAGUGAGCCACAUGGGAGGGGUGCCAAGGAGCCAGCAGGAUGAGAGGCUGAAAGGUCAUCUCUGGAGAACAAACCUGUCUAUCAGCAGGAAGCAGAUGGCAUAGCUGAUGAGGCUCUGAAGCA